RNAcentral lists this ribosomal RNA (368 nucleotides) under uncultured organism. RNAcentral describes it as "bacterial SSU rRNA". It matches the Rfam family "Bacterial small subunit ribosomal RNA", at positions 526 to 896 of the family's 1533-position model. The record is from RNAcentral.
CGGAGGAUCCUAGCGUUGUCCGGAUUUAUUGGGUUUAAAGGGUGCGUAGGCGGAUUACUAAGUCAGGGGUGAAAGCCGGUAGCUUAACUAUCGAAUUGCCUUUGAAACUGGUAGUCUUGAAUACUGUUGAGGUGGGCGGAAUGUAUCAUGUAGCGGUGAAAUGCUUAGAUAUGAUACAGAACACCGAUUGCGAAGGCAGCUCACUAAGCAGUUAUUGACGCUGAGGCACGAAAGCGUGGGGAUCAAACAGGAUUAGAUACCCUGGUAGUCCACGCCGUAAACGUUGAACACUUGCUGUUGGCGAUAUACAGUCAGCGGCUCAGCGCAAGCGUUAAGUGUUCCACCUGGGGAGUACGGCCGCAAGGUUG